UGGGGAAUAUUGCACAAUGGGGGAAACCCUGAUGCAGCGACGCCGCGUGAGCGAAGAAGGUUUUCGAAUCGUAAAGCUCUGUCCUAUGAGAAGAUAAUGACGGUAUCAUAGGAGGAAGCCCCGGCUAAAUACGUGCCAGCAGCCGCGGUAAUACGUAUGGGGCGAGCGUUGUCCGGAAUUAUUGGGCGUAAAGGGUACGUAGGCGGUCUAGUAAGUCAGGUGUGAAAGCGUGAGGCUUAACCUCAUUAAGCACUUGAAACUGAUAGACUUGAGUGAAAGAGAGGAAAGUGUAAUUCCUAGUGUAGCGGUGAGAUGCGUAGAUAUUAGAAGGAAUACCGGUAGCGAAGGCGACUUUCUGGACUUUUACUGACGCUCAGGUACGAAAGCGUGGGGAGCAAACAGG
RNAcentral lists this ribosomal RNA (403 nucleotides) under Verrucomicrobiota bacterium. RNAcentral describes it as "Verrucomicrobia bacterium partial 16S ribosomal RNA". It matches the Rfam family "Bacterial small subunit ribosomal RNA", at positions 355 to 776 of the family's 1533-position model. Lineage: Bacteria; Pseudomonadati; Verrucomicrobiota. The record is from RNAcentral.